CCGGGGCGGGGCCUCGCGGGAACUCCAUGACGCCAGGGGGCGGGCGGCGGUGGGGAAUCCCCGGCUUGUCCCAAGAGGGCUUUGGCGGGGAGGACCGAAGGCCGACGCCGGGAGGAGCCGUCUCCGGGAGGAGCCGCCUCCGGGUCUGAACCGCCGGGGCCCCGUCCGAAAUGUUCACCUUAGUGGGGGCUCCUGUGGCUGCAAGGGUCAUAAGCAGGAGCGAGGUCGGAGCCUCCGGGACGGCUUCCCCCACGCGGGUAGAGCGCUCCGGAGGCGGGGCCCUCAAGGCCCGGGUCUCUUAACCCCGUCGCGCCCGGGCAGAGUCCGAGAGCCGCUGAUGCUCCCCACGCCGCCGCGCUCCUGGCCGCGCGCCCAGCCAGGGACCCAGAGGCCCUCAGCCCCGGGCUCUGCGCGUACACUGAGCAGGACGGCAAGAUAAGGAAGCAGAGACUGAAGGGAGGAAUCCCCGCUUUCCGGGGAUGAUGGCGUUCGAGUUGGGUCUGUGAGGGAUGAAAUAGGAGUUGGCCAGAGGGAGAGAGAGGGACUCUAGGCCUCGAGAAGAGCACGUGCAGAGGUUCCGUGACACGAAAACGCCAGAGUCUUGCUCUGUCGCCCAGGCUGGCUGGAGUGCUGUGACACGAUCUCAGCUCACUGCAACCUCUGCCUCCCAGGUUCAAGCGAUUCUCCUGCCUCAGCCUCCCGAGAAGCUGGGAUUACAGAGAAAGGUUUUUGCCAUGUUGUCCAGAUCGGUCUCAAAUUCCUGAACUCAAGCAAUUCACCCAU
Molecule: long non-coding RNA, 783 nt
Organism: Pongo pygmaeus (Bornean orangutan)
Lineage: Eukaryota; Metazoa; Chordata; Mammalia; Primates; Hominidae
Exons: 3
Source: RefSeq, a predicted model, not a curated record